AUUUUCGCCGGAAAACCGCGGACGGGUACGACAACGAAAUCAAGAAAACGCGUUUUUCUCCGGCACAUCGGACCGAUAAAUCCGCAACCACCGUGUAAAAAACGACGCAUCACUCGUUGCACGCAGCGCGUGGCCGGCGAAUUGUCCGCGGGAUGCAGUGAAUGAGAACCGCGAAUCGUAAACCGUUAAAUCGCGUUUUUAUUUUAAUACACGACUCGACGGAUCGUCAAGUGAAAGGCCGGAUUC
Molecule: non-coding RNA, 246 nt
Organism: Cinara cedri
Lineage: Eukaryota; Metazoa; Arthropoda; Insecta; Hemiptera; Aphididae
Source: the annotation of a GenBank genome assembly